Molecule: non-coding RNA, 68 nt
Organism: Paramuricea clavata
Lineage: Eukaryota; Metazoa; Cnidaria; Anthozoa; Malacalcyonacea; Plexauridae
Source: the annotation of a GenBank genome assembly
GUGUAGCUCAGUUGGUAGAGCGUCGAUCUAGUAAUUCGAAGGUCGCGGGUUCAAGACCUAUAUAUAUA